UACGAAGGGUGCAAGCGUUAAUCGGAAUUACUGGGCGUAAAGCGUGCGUAGGCGGUUUGUUAAGUCUGCUGUGAAAUCCCCCGGGCUCAACCUGGGGAAUGGCAGUGGAUACUGGCAAGCUAGAGUGUGUCAGAGGAUGGUGGAAUUCCCGGUGUAGCGGUGAAAUGCGUAGAGAUCGGGAGGAACAUCAGUGGCGAAGGCGGCCAUCUGGGACAACACUGACGCUGAGGCACGAAAGCGUGGGGAGCAAACAGG
This 255-nucleotide ribosomal RNA is filed under the name uncultured bacterium. RNAcentral's name for it is "partial 16S ribosomal RNA". It matches the Rfam family "Bacterial small subunit ribosomal RNA", at positions 524 to 776 of the family's 1533-position model. The record is from RNAcentral.